Molecule: ribosomal RNA, 409 nt
Filed under: uncultured prokaryote
Also listed under: 1 other name
Description: bacterial SSU rRNA
Rfam family: Bacterial small subunit ribosomal RNA
Source: RNAcentral
UGGGGAAUAUUGCACAAUGGGCGAAAGCCUGAUGCAGCGACGCCGCGUGAGGGAUGACGGCCUUCGGGUUGUAAACCUCUUUCAGCAGGGACGAAGCGAGAGUGACGGUACCUGCAGAAGAAGCACCGGCCAACUACGUGCCAGCAGCCGCGGUAAUACGUAGGGUGCGAGCGUUGUCCGGAAUUACUGGGCGUAAAGAGCUCGUAGGCGGUUUGUCGCGUCGUCCGUGAAAACUUGGGGCUCAACCCCAAGCUUGCGGGCGAUACGGGCAGACUUGAGUACUGCAGGGGAGACUGGAAUUCCUGGUGUAGCGGUGAAAUGCGCAGAUAUCAGGAGGAACACCGGUGGCGAAGGCGGGUAACUGGACUGCAACUGACGCUGAGGCGCGAAAGUGUGGGGAGCAAACAGG